AAUGAACGCUGGCGGCGUGCUUAACACAUGCAAGUCGAACGGUAACAGAGAGAAGCUUGCUUCUUUGCUGACGAGUGGCGCACGGGUGAGUAAUAGAUAGAUAAUGUACCCUUUAGUCUGGGAUAGCCACUGGAAACGGUGAUUAAUACUAGAUACGCCUUUUUACCUUAUGGUAAUUUGGGAAAGGUUUUUCGCUAAGGGAUCAGUCUAUCUCCUAUCAGUUAGUUGGUGAGGUAAGAGCUCACCAAGGCAAUGACGGGUAGCGGGUUUGAGAGGAUGAUCCGCCACACUGGAACUGAGACACGGUCCAGACUCCUACGGGAGGCAGCAGUGAGGAAUAUUGCACAAUGGGGGGAACCCUGAUGCAGCAACGCCGCGUAGAGGAUGACGCAUUUCGGUGUGUAAACUCCUUUUAUAAGAGGAGAACAUGACGGUAUCUUAUGAAUAAGCUCCGGCUAACUCCGUGCCAGCAGCCGCGGUAAUACGGAGGGAGCAAGCGUUAUUCGGAAUCACUGGGCGUAAAGGACGCGUAGGCGGGUUGGUAAGUCAGAUGUGAAAUCCUACAGCUCAACUGUAGAACUGCAUUUGAAACUACUAACCUAGAGUAUGGAAGGGGUAGAUGGAAUUAGUGGUGUAGGGGUAAAAUCCGUAGAUAUCACUAGGAAUACCGAAAGCGAAGGCGAUCCGCUGGGACAUUACUGACGCUGAGGCGUGAAAGCGUGGGGAGCAAACAGGAUUAGAUACCCUGGUAGUCCACGCCCUAAACGAUGAACACUAGUCGUCGGGGUACAAGUUACUUCGGUGAUGCACUUAACAGAUUAAGUGUUCCGCCUGGGGAGUACGGUCGCAAGAUUAAAACUCAAAGGAAUAGACGGGGACCCGCACAAGUGGUGGAGCAUGUGGUUUAAUUCGAAGAUACGCGAAGAACCUUACCUGGCCUUGACAUCCCAAUAAUUUAGCAGAGAUGCUUUAGUGCCUGCUUGCUG
This 986-nucleotide ribosomal RNA is filed under the name uncultured Campylobacterota bacterium. RNAcentral describes it as "bacterial SSU rRNA". It matches the Rfam family "Bacterial small subunit ribosomal RNA", at positions 28 to 1027 of the family's 1533-position model. Lineage: Bacteria; Pseudomonadati; Campylobacterota. The record is from RNAcentral.